Molecule: ribosomal RNA, 406 nt
Filed under: uncultured bacterium
Lineage: Bacteria
Description: partial 16S ribosomal RNA
Rfam family: Bacterial small subunit ribosomal RNA
Source: RNAcentral
AUUGCACGCUGGCGGCAGGCUUAACACAUGCAAGUCGAGCGCGCGGCGGACGGGUGCGUAAUGUCUGGGAAACUGCCUGAUGGAGGGGGAUAACUACUGGAAACUGUAGCUAAUACCGCAUACCAUACGAUGUGCCCAGAUGGGAUUAGCUAGUAGGUGGGGUAAUGGCUAACCUAGGAGACGAUCCCUAGCUGGGCUGAGAGGAUGAACCGCCACACGGGAACUGAGACCCGUUCCAGACUCCUACGUGAGGCAGCAGUAGGGAAUAUUGCUCAAUGGGCGCAAGCCUGAUGCAGCCAUGCCGCGUGUGUGAAGAAGGCCUUCGGGUUGUAAAGCACUUUCAGCGAGGAGGCGUUACUCGCAGAAGAAGCACCGGCUAACUCCGUGCCAGCAGCCGCGGUAAUAC